GAUUAACGCUGGCGGCGUGCAUAACACAUGCAAGUCGAACGAUGAAACUUUAAUGAACCCUUCGGGGAGAAUUAAAGCGGAUUAGUGGCGAACGGGUGAGUAACGCGUGAGUAACCUGCCUUACACAAGGGGAUAGCCUUUGGAAACGAAGAAUAAUACCCUAUAAAACCAUAAAGGCACAUGCAAUUAUGGUCAAAGUAUUAGCGGUGUAAGAUGGACUUGCGUCUGAUUAGCUAGUUGGUGAGAUAAAAGCCCACCAAGGCAACGAUCAGUAGCCGGCUUGAGAGAGUGUACGGCCACAUUGGGACUGAGACACGGCCCAGACUCCUACGGGAGGCAGCAGUGGGGAAUUUUGCACAAUGGGGGAAACCCUGAUGCAGCGACGCCGCGUGAUUUAGAAGGCCUUCGGGUUGUAAAAAUCUUUUGUAUAGGAAGAAAAUGACAGUACUAUACGAAUAAGGUCCGGCUAAUUACGUGCCAGCAGCCGCGGUAAUACGUAAGGACCGAGCGUUGUCCGGAAUCAUUGGGCGUAAAGGGUACGUAGGCGGCUAGAAAAGUUAGAAGUCAAAGGCUAUAGCUCAACUAUAGUAAGCUUCUAAAACUAUUUAGCUUGAGAGAUGGAAGGGAAAGUGGAAUUCCUAGUGCAGCGCGUGGAAUGCGCAGAUAUUAGGAGGAAUACCGGUGGCGAAGGCGACUUUCUGGCCAUUUUCUGACGCUGAGGUACGAAAGCGUGGGUAGCAAACAGGAUUAGAUACCCUGGUAGUCCACGCCGUAAACGAUGAAUGUUAAGUGUCUGGAGUCAAAUCUGGGUGCCGCAGCAAACGCAUUAAACACUCCCGCCUGGGGAGUACGCACGCAAGUGUGAAACUCAAAGGAAUUGACGGGGACCCGCACAAGCAGCGGAGCAUGUGGUUUAAUUCUACGCAACGCGAAGAACCUUCCCAAGUCUUGACAUAUUUUUGAAGCAAUUAGAGAUAGUUGCCUAUAUCUUCGGAUAACUAAAAUACAGGUGGUGCAUGGUUGUCGUCAGCUCGUGUCGUGAGAUGUUGGGUUAAGUCCCAUAACGAGCGCAACCCCUAUUGCUAGUUACCAUCAUUAAGUUGGGGACUCUAGUAAUACUGCCGGUGACAAACCGGAGGAAGGUGGGGAUGACGUCAAAUCAUCAUGCCCUUUAUGACUUGGGCUACACACGUGCUACAAUGGCAGGUACACAGGGAAGCAAGACUGUGAAGUUAAGCCAAACUCAAAAAGCCUGUCCCAGUUCGGAUUGCACUCUGCAACUCGAGUGCAUGAAGUUGGAGUUGCUAGUAAUCGCAGAUCAGAAUGCUGCGGUGAAUGCGUUCCCGGGUCU
This 1351-nucleotide ribosomal RNA is filed under the name uncultured bacterium. Its description in RNAcentral is "bacterial SSU rRNA". It matches the Rfam family "Bacterial small subunit ribosomal RNA", at positions 28 to 1381 of the family's 1533-position model. The record is from RNAcentral.